AUGCUUUCAGAAUGGACAGUUUCAGGAAACUGUCAAACAAAAAUAUUCAGAAUGGGCAGUUCCACCACAACACCAUGCAGCAACGGUUUUUCAUACAGCAGGUACACCAAGAAAUCUCACAUGCCUUCCCUUGGCUUGGCUCUCGUGCUGCUGGUCUCUUUGGUCUCUCCGACCAGCUCCUGCACCGAGCAGGAGAAGAGCUCCCUUCUCCAGCUCCUCGCCGGGCUAUCGCAGGACGGCGACCUCACGACGACGUGGCGGCACGGCACCGACUGCUGCACAUGGGAAGGGAUCACCUGCAACCAAGAUAGGAAGGUCACUGAUGUUUCGUUGGCUUCUCGAGGCCUCGAGGGGCCCAUCUCGCCGUUCCUUGGCAACCUCACCGGACUUUUGCGCCUCAACCUUUCCCGGAACUUGCUGUCUGGUGGCUUGCCACUGGAAUUAGUGUCAUCCAGCAGCAUCCUUGUUCUUGACAUCAGCUUCAACCGCCUCACAGGAGGCCUGAGCGAGCUGCCAUCUUCAACCCCUGCGCGGCCUCUGCAGGUACUCAACAUCUCAAGCAACUUGCUUACAGGCAUAUUACCAUCCACAACAUGGGAGGUGAUGAAGAGCCUGGUCGUUUUUAAUGCCAGUUCCAACAGAUUUACUGGUCAGAUACCAACUACACCAUGUGUUAGCGCGCCAUCUUUUGCUGUGCUUGAGCUCAGUUUCAACCAACUCAGUGGGAACAUCCCUUCAGGACUCGGUAAUUGCUCAGUACUGAAAUUGCUAGGUGCUGGCUACAACAAACUCAGUGGUACACUUCCAGAUGAACUCUUCAAGGUCACCUCGUUAGAGCACCUCUCGUUACCUAACAAUUGGUUAGAAGGAGCUCUCGAUGACAUCAGCAAGCUCAUAAAUCUGGUCACCCUUGAUCUUGGCGGGAAUGAGCUCAGCGGUAAUAUUCCAGAGUCUAUAGGUGGUCUGAAGAGAUUGGAGGAGCUGCAUUUGGAACACAACAGCAUGUCAGGGGAGCUGCCAGCAGCUCUAAGCAACUGCACAAAUCUUGUAACAAUUGACCUCAAGGCAAACCAAUUUAGCGGAGAACUUACCAAGGUCAACUUUGUAAGCCUGUCCAAUCUAAAAAAACUAGAUCUUCUUUCCAAUAACUUCACCGGCACAGUUCCAGAAAGCAUAUACUCCUGCAGCAAGCUGACUGCACUACGGCUAUCUUACAAUCCUUUCCAUGGUCAAUUGUCAGAAAAAAUAGGCAAUCUGAAGUCCCUCUUAUUCCUAUCACUUGCUAAUAACUCUCUUACAAAUAUCACAAGAACACUUCAGAUGCUUAGCAGUUCCAGGAGCCUCACCACCCUUUAUAUUGGAUGCAACUUCCUCCAUGAGACCAUGCCAGAGGAUGUCAGCAUUGAUGGUUUCCAGAAUCUCCAGGUUCUUUAUAUAAAUCAUUGUUCAUUGUCUGGAAAAAUACCUGAUUGGUUAUCAAAGCUACCGAAUUUGGAGAUGCUAUUUUUGCAAGGCAAUCAACUAACUGGACCGAUACCUGAAUGGAUCAGCAGCCUAAAUUUUCUCUUCUCUCUAGAUAUAUCAAACAACAGCCUUACAGGGGAAAUUCCAAGUGCUUUAAUGGAGAUGCCAAUGCUAGAAUCAGAUAAUACUGCACCAAAGGUCUUCUUUGAGCUGCCUGUUUGGAACAAGAACCAGUUUCUGCAAUACCUCACGCCCAGUGCUUUUCCUAAAGAGCUUAAUCUAGCCAUGAAUAAUUUCUCUGGUAUGAUUCCGGAGGAGAUCGGUCAGUUACAAGGACUAUUUUCACUUAACUUGAGCUCCAACAGAUUAUCUGGAGAGAUACCAGAACAGAUCUGCAAUCUCACGAACCUGCAGAUGCUUGACUUGUCUGGUAAUCAUCUCACUGGUAAGAUUCCAGCUGCAUUGAACAAUCUGCACUUCCUUUCCAGAUUCAACAUUUCUAAUAAUGACCUAGAAGGCCCUAUUCCAAACAUGGGCCAGUUCAGCACGUUUCCGGAUUCUAGCUUUGGUGGAAACCCAAAACUGUGUGGCCCUAUGGUUGCAAACCAUUGUGGUUCGGCAGAAGCAAGUCCAGUUUCCAUUGACCCCAUAAAACAGAUUGGUAGCGAGGCCAUCAUCUUUAUGACCGCCUUCGGUGUUUUCUUUGGAGUAGGAGUCCUAUAUGAUCAGAAAGUCUUAGCUAGACAUUUUGGCUGA
RNAcentral lists this ribosomal RNA (2220 nucleotides) under Triticum aestivum (bread wheat). RNAcentral's name for it is "partial small subunit ribosomal RNA". Lineage: Eukaryota; Viridiplantae; Streptophyta; Magnoliopsida; Poales; Poaceae. The record is from RNAcentral.